RNAcentral lists this ribosomal RNA (1422 nucleotides) under metagenome. RNAcentral describes it as "bacterial LSU rRNA". It matches the Rfam family "Archaeal large subunit ribosomal RNA", at positions 1512 to 2978 of the family's 2987-position model. The record is from RNAcentral.
AAAACAGGUUAAUAUUCCUGUACCUGUAUCAAACAAUCCUGACGCUUUCGGAUAGGCAUUGCGGAGCCAUCGCUCCGUCUAAGCUGGAUAUGAAAUUGGAGUACCGUAAUGGUGAGAAUUUUUCAAAACGGUGAUGGGGUAACAAUGCUAAUUCCAGGAGCCCGUGAGAAGGGUGAUACGGUCCGUACCGAGAACUGACACAGGUGCCCCUCGCUGAGAAGGCGAAGGCGUGUCGGGAGUAAAUGUGUUAAGGGAACUCGGCAAAUUAGCCCUGUAACUUUGGGAUAAGGGGUGCCUGCCCAGCGAUUGGGCAGGUCGCAGUGACAAGAUCGCUCCGACUGUCUAAUAACAACAUAGCAGACUGCAACUCCGAAAAGACUCGUAUAGUCUGUGAUUCCCGCCCAGUGCGAGUAUCUGAACACCGGGUUCAACCGGACGAAGGACUUGUAAACGGCGGGGGUAACUAUGACCCUCUUAAGGUAGCGUACUACCUUGUCGCUUAAUUGGCGACUUGCAUGAAUGGAAUAACGAGAGCGAUACUGUCCCUAACACAUACCCGUUGAACCUUUUGUACUAGUGCAGAGACUAGUGACUCCUUAUGGGAAGUGAAGACCCCGUGGAGCUUUACUGCAGCCUGUCGUUGGGUUACGGUAUUACCUGCGCAGGGUAGAUGGGAGACGUCGAUCCAACCCUUGUGGGGGUUGGUUAGUCAACGAUGAGACACCAUCCUGGUUUUAUUGUAAUUCUAACUGAUUUAUCAGGACAUCGAUAGGUAGGCAGUUUGGGUGGGGCGCCACACCCUCGAAAAAAUAUCAAGGGUGCCCUAAGGUCAACUCAAGCGGGUCAGAAACCCGCUGAAGAGUGUCAAGAGCAAAAGUUGGCCUGACGCGAUUUCGCAUAGCAAGAAAUCGCGAGAGGAAACUCGGGUCUAACAAACCAAUACGCCCUGUUGAUGAGGGCUAUUGACUACAGAAAAGCUACCCCGGGGAUAACAGAGUCGUCGCCGGCAAGAGCACAUAUCGACCCGGCGGCUUGCUACCUCGAUGUCGGUUCUCUCCAUCCUGGCUGUGCAGCAGCAGCCAAGGGUGAGGUUGUUCGCCUAUUAAAGGGGAUCGUGAGCUGGGUUUAGACCGUCGUGAGACAGGUCGGUUACUAUCUAUAAGGAGUGUUGGAAGUCUGAAGGCAAGAAUGAAAUAGUACGAGAGGAACUUUCAUUCGGCGCCACUGGUCUACCGGUUGUCUGACAAGGCACCGCCGGGCAGCUACGCGCCAAGAGAUAAAAGCUGAAAGCAUCUAAGCUUGAAACUCAGCCUGAACAAGAGACUUCAUUAAAGACACGGGUAAAAGACCCGGUUGAUAGGUUCGGGAUGUACGCACGAAGGCAACGACGUGUUCAGUCCGCGAAUACUAAUUGUCUCAAUU